GCCGCGGCGGCGGGGGGACAUAAAGCCGCGGUGGCGAGGGGGGUCACAACAAAGCCGCGGCGGGCAAAAAGCCGAGGCGGGGUGGGGGGCAAAAAGCCGCGGCGGCAGUGGGGCAAAAAGCCACGGCGGCGGGGGGUAAAAAGCCGCGGCGGGCAAAAAGUCGCGGCGGCGGGGGACAGAAAGCCGUGGCGGGCAAAAAGCCGAGGCGGGGUGGGGGGGAAAAAGCCGCGGCGGCGGGGGGCGAAAAGCCACGGCGGUGGGGGGCAAAAUAGUGGAGAUGGGGUAGAAGGACGGCACAGCUUGGUAUUGCUGGAGUGUGAUGUGAUAGGAAAUGUGCAGCCAAAGACAAAAAAAGAUGUGCUGUCAUCUAUAUGAUCUCAGUAUUUUAAAAAUCAGCUUCCAGCCCAUGUGGUGGUUCAUGCUUGUAAUACCAGCAGUUGAAGAGGCUUAAAUGAGAGGAUUCCUGGAGCCCAGGAGUUCAAAAGCAACCUGGGCAACCUAGCAAGACCCAGUCUCUAUCAAAAGUUAAAAAAAAAAAGUGGGCAUGGUGAUGUGCACCUGUUGUCCUAGCUAUUUUGGAGGCCAAGGUGGAAGGAUCGCUUGAGCUUGGGAGGCUGAGGCUGCAGUGAGCAGUGAUUGCACCACUGCAUUCCAGCCUGGGCAACAAAGCAAGACCCUAUCUCAAAAAAUAUAUAAUAAAAAUGAAAAUCAGUUCUCAUUGAUUUCUAUGUAAAUAUGCACAGAUGAUGUCCAUAUAGACAUAAAUAAUAAUAUAUCUGAC
This 781-nucleotide long non-coding RNA is filed under the name Homo sapiens (human). RNAcentral's name for it is "HSALNT0035594". Lineage: Eukaryota; Metazoa; Chordata; Mammalia; Primates; Hominidae. The record is from RNAcentral.